RNAcentral lists this ribosomal RNA (543 nucleotides) under Triticum aestivum (bread wheat). Its description in RNAcentral is "partial small subunit ribosomal RNA". The record is from RNAcentral. Lineage: Eukaryota; Viridiplantae; Streptophyta; Magnoliopsida; Poales; Poaceae.
UUAUGCUGCCCAAGGCCAUGGGGGGGCAUGGGAUUCCGUGACAUGAGGGCUUUUAAUCAGGCUCUGCUGGCCAAGCAAGCCUGGCGCCUACUGGAUAGCCCAGCUAGCUUAUGUGCAAGGUUAUUGAAGGCUAAAUAUUAUCCGAGGGGAAAUUUGCUUGACACUGUGUUUUCAUCAAACUCUUCGGCGGUGUGGAAAGGUAUUGUUCAUGGGCUUGAGCUGGUGAAGAAAGGCAUUAUAUAGCGAGUUGGCAAUGGUACAAUGAUAAAUACUUGGAGGGAUGCUUGGAUCCCUCGUGGACACAACCUUAGACCGAUCACUCCUAGGAGGAAUUGUCGUUACAAUUGGGUGGUUGAUUUUUUGAACGAGCAUGAUGCAUGGAAUGAGGAACGGCUUCGGGAGCAUUUUUCGGACAUGGAUGUUAGGGAGAUAUUGAAGAUCCGCACAUCUCCAAGGAAUGGGCAGGACUUUGUUGCUUGGUUUCCGGAGCGGUCUGGACAGUUCACUAUUCGUAGCGCAUAUCACCUAGCUACGGAUGUCUAG